AACCCUCUGCCCUGAUUGAAAGACUGAACACUAAAUUUGCCACUUAGUAUCUUGUGUAACAAAGAAGGUGCGCAUAUGCUGGUGUCUGCUGAACCUUGCAGUCCUCAGGAUGCCAGCACUGCCUUCUUUUAAAAUUAUUUGACCAGAGCUUAGAUUAACAAUUAUAGCAAAAGGAAAUAAAUGGUUGAGGUGUCUACUCUGCAGUAUAAGAGACUGUGGCUGCACUUUCUUCUCAGGCAUUCCUCCUUUUUAUGCCUUUCCUAGUGAAUUGUUUUUCUACCUAUCAAAUAAGAUACAUUUAGAAUACAAGAAGAAGAUUCACAGAGAACUGGACAAGGUGUUUGAAGGAGUAAUCAGCAGUCAGAAGUACAGAUUUGUGACUCAGGAGCACAAAUAGCCACUUCCUCUAAUUAUUGGUGCAAUUAAGGCAACAAGCUGCAAGACUUUUUGUAAAUAUGAGAGUAUAAUUAUUCAGCUGAUCUCCAUGUUAAAAAUACAAAAGGUGAGUCUCUUUGUCUCUGUGUACUUGCUUCCUUCCUAGGUUGUCACCUGAACAAAAGAUGGGACUGAUGAUUGUCUAACUUGCUUAUAUGUUUGCAAGACUGGGUAUAUAUCUGCUGCUUUCUGUCACAAGCCAUUGCAAAUAACAGCAAGAAUUGGAAAGUUCAUUUCUAGCUGUUUACUGUGCAGAAAGAUAUAACAGUCAGCAUUUAUGAUAAAGUUUCUGCUGGGAGAUUGCAAGAACAAAGUGCCAAAAUUUACACCCCUCUGAUGCC
Molecule: long non-coding RNA, 776 nt
Filed under: Geospiza fortis (medium ground-finch)
Lineage: Eukaryota; Metazoa; Chordata; Aves; Passeriformes; Thraupidae
Description: lncRNA (ENSGFOG00000007244.1)
Source: RNAcentral